AACGAACGCUGGCGGCAGGCCUAAUACAUGCAAGUCGAACGGCAGCGGGUGUAGCAAUACAUGCCGGCGAGUGGCGCACGGGUGCGUAACGCGUAUGCAAUCUACCUAUAACUGGGGAAUAGCCUUCCGAAAGGAAGAUUAAUACCGCAUAAUAUCACGAAAUGGCAUCAUUUUGUGAUCAAAACUCCGGUGGUUAUAGAUGAGCAUGCGUGACAUUAGCUAGUUGGUGAGGUAACGGCUCACCAAGGCGACGAUGUCUAGGGGGUCUGAGAGGAUGAUCCCCCACACUGGUACUGAGACACGGACCAGACUCCUACGGGAGGCAGCAGUAAGGAAUAUUGGACAAUGGCCGCAAGGCUGAUCCAGCCAUGCCGCGUGCAGGAAGAAGGUGCUAUGCAUUGUAAACUGCUUUUGUCCCGGAAUAAACCCCUCUACGUGUAGGGGGCUGAAUGUACGGGAAGAAUAAGGGACGGCUAACUUCGUGCCAGCAGCCGCCGUAA
RNAcentral lists this ribosomal RNA (500 nucleotides) under uncultured bacterium. Its description in RNAcentral is "partial 16S ribosomal RNA". It matches the Rfam family "Bacterial small subunit ribosomal RNA", at positions 29 to 523 of the family's 1533-position model. The record is from RNAcentral.